Molecule: long non-coding RNA, 735 nt
Organism: Mercenaria mercenaria
Lineage: Eukaryota; Metazoa; Mollusca; Bivalvia; Venerida; Veneridae
Exons: 5
Source: RefSeq, a predicted model, not a curated record
AUAGUACUAGAGCCGAUUUACGCAAUCGAAUACCGCCGGAAGUAGAACAUUUAUGUCAACACCGGUUUCGUAUUUUCACGUGAAAUCGGCCGAAAACUGAGAGGUUAUCAACAAAUUAUAAGUUUACGGGUACCAUGCGGAUUUUUCAUGCAUUUAAACGACAGAAGUACAAGUGAACAGAUGACACAUUAAAGUGGCUGCAGAAGCUUGAAAAGUUAGAUAGAGCAGGGACAGUCAAAACUGUGGGAUAAUACUUCUGUGGUGUCCAGCAUGUCUAGUCAGGUUGACAGAGUGAAAGAUGGUCUGAUGGUACAAUGAUGUACAAAUGAUACUCUUUAACAAGUUUAACAUGUCAAAGUGUAAAAUGUUCUGUGGAUUCAUAUGAUGAGAAUGCCAAUGUUGAUCUGUAUGACUUAAUUAAACAUAGAUAUUUAUACCUUCAGAUAUAUACCUGUGAAAUCUUCAGUGUCACCGUUCAGCUAUUGUUCAAGAUCAGUGUCUGCAGCUUGCACAGUUUAGUAUAGAGGAACCUUCUGAAUCAAUUUUGUUACCUAUUUGCUGUUAUUGUAGGACGCAUAUGUAGAGAGCAACAAGUCCUGUCCAACUGUGCAUGUAAAUGUGAUUCAGAAACUUUGAGAAUAUGUAAACAUUACACUGUUAUAAUUUUCAAAAUACUGUGUCUUGUAGUGUAUCAGUACUGUUUUGUCUCAGUUUAUAGCACAGUAUGUUCACAAA